UGAGGAAUAUUGGGCAAUGCCCGCAAGGGUGACCCAGCAACGCCGCGUGGAGGAUGAAUGUCGUAAGAUUGUAAACUCCUGUUAGAGGGGAAGAAUAGUACCGGUUGGACCGGUAUAUGACUGUACCCUCAGAGAAAGCCCCGGCUAACUACGUGCCAGCAGCCGCGGUAAUACGUAGGGGGCAAGCGUUGUCCGGAUUUACUGGGUGUAAAGGGCGCGCAGGCGGGAUAAAAAGUCAGUGGUGAAAUCCUACAGCUUAACUGUAGAACUGCCUUUGAUACUUUUAUUCUUGAGUUCGGGAGAGAGACGGAAUUCCAGGUGUAGUGGUGAAAUACGUAGAUAUCUGGAAGAACACCAGUUGCGAAGGCGGUCUCUUGGUCCGACACUGACGCUGAGGCGCGAAAGCGUGGGGGGCAAACA
Molecule: ribosomal RNA, 420 nt
Filed under: uncultured bacterium
Lineage: Bacteria
Description: bacterial SSU rRNA
Rfam family: Bacterial small subunit ribosomal RNA
Source: RNAcentral